RNAcentral lists this long non-coding RNA (1267 nucleotides) under Macaca fascicularis (crab-eating macaque). Its description in RNAcentral is "lncRNA (ENSMFAG00000056640.1)". Lineage: Eukaryota; Metazoa; Chordata; Mammalia; Primates; Cercopithecidae. The record is from RNAcentral.
UUUUUUUUUUUUUUAGCUCUAUGAGCAGCUAUCCAGAGAAGAUUUUCUGAUGCAUUUGUCACUAGGAGUUGCCAGGUCAUGGAACGUGAGAACCCAGGGGAGGAAGUGGAGCCAGCCUCUCUGCUCACUCCUACUGGGUCAUUGGGAGGCAACUGGCCAGAACGGAGGGAGAGAGAGAAUGUUUCUUUGCCUUUUUUUUUUUUUUUUUUAGCCUAUCUGACCUUUUAAAGGGACUUGUGCCCUGCUGCCUUCCUCUCAGAAACUGCAUGCAGGUUUGAAUGAAGGCAGGGAGGGGGAUGGGGGAACAUGGACCAUUAGGGAGGUAUCCAGCUCACUGCUUCCAGGCUAGGUUGGUCCCCAGAUCUCUGUCGGGGUCCAGGCUCAGGCCAUUCCAUCACCUUAGAUACCAGGGGUGUGUCCGAGGUGAUGGAAUGUUGCUGAAAACCUGUAUAUUUCAUCUGCCUCAGGCCCCUGAGUCUCUGAGAUCUGAGGGUCUCUGAUGGGUGGGCUCACCUCUCAUUCUUACACCAGUUCUGGAAGGCAGGAAAGGGCAGGCAGAGGGGGUUCCUCUUUUUGGAAUGAACCCCCCUACUCCCACUAGCUCCAGAGAGGACAAGUGACUUGUCCAAAGUGACCCAGCAAGUCAGAGACAGAGUCCUAGUCAAUCAAAUGAUCUGACUUCAAUCCCAAAUAGAGGGAUUGCAUUUGCUCUCUGGUUGGGAGGAAGGCGUUUCUUGGGGGGCAGGAUACUCCUGUUGUCCUAUUCAUUGUCACCUGCCGAGACUGAGCAGAACCUGCUCUGCCCCCUCAAACCUGGGUAUGUCCAAAGAGCAGAUGGUGGGGAAAGAGCAGAGUGGGGAAAGAGGGAGGGAGAGGCCAGGACAGGGGGAGGCUGAAAGCGAGGAAAGGGCUUGGGGACAAAGGGAGCUGGAGAAUGAGCAAACGAAGUCUUGGAAAACUACUUGUGUCCCCUUCCCGGCCUCCCUGCCUGCCUUCUCCACUGGAGACAGUCAUUUAGAAUAAUGAGUCAUAAUUUGAUUACAUUAUCUUCCAGCCUCGCAAGGUAAACAAGGAUCUCUCCUGGAAGGAAGGAACGGGGUGGCCCAGGCUUCUGGCAGACUCCGUGGGCCUGGCCUGGGGUUUUCCCCUCCUAAAGUUGUCCCUCUCUUCUUGAGUGUGCUUGAAACACACGUCUGGGUGGCUUCAGCCCCUGUGUUCCACUAACAUUUACAUUCUCUUUGUGUCUUCUGUCCGACCCCUUGGUCCC